UACGGAGGGUGCGAGCGUUGUCCGGAAUCACUGGGCGUAAAGGGCGCGUAGGCGGCGCGAGCAGUCGGCGGUGAAAGCCCGGAGCUCAACUCCGGGUCGGCCGUCGAUACUCUCGUGCUUGAGCACUGUAGAGGCAGGUGGAAUUCCCGGUGUAGCGGUGGAAUGCGUAGAGAUCGGGAAGAACACCAGUGGCGAAGGCGGUCUGCUGGGCCGUUGCUGACGCUGAGGCGCGACAGCGUGGGGAGCAAACAGG
Molecule: ribosomal RNA, 253 nt
Filed under: uncultured bacterium
Lineage: Bacteria
Description: partial 16S ribosomal RNA
Rfam family: Bacterial small subunit ribosomal RNA
Source: RNAcentral